CCUAGACAAGGCUUGCACCUCUAUGUUGGUGUCUAGGACUAGUAGCCAUAUGGUGAAGCCAAGCAAGU
Molecule: non-coding RNA, 68 nt
Filed under: Histoplasma mississippiense
Lineage: Eukaryota; Fungi; Ascomycota; Eurotiomycetes; Onygenales; Ajellomycetaceae
Source: RNAcentral